CUACGGGGUGCUCCAGUGGGGAAUCUUAGACAAUGGGGGAAACCCUGAUCUAGCCAUGCCGCGUGAGCGACGACGGCCCUAGGGUUGUAAAGCUCUUUCAGCAGGGAAGAUAAUGACGGUACCUGCAGAAGAAGUCCCGGCUAACUCCGUGCCAGCAGCCGCGGUAAUACGGAGGGGACUAGCGUUGUUCGGAAUUACUGGGCGUAAAGCGCGCGUAGGCGGAUUGUUAAGUCGGGGGUGAAAUCCCGGGGCUCAACCCCGGAACUGCCCUCGAUACUGGCAGUCUUGAGUUCGAGAGAGGUGGGUGGAAUUCCGGGUGUAGAGGUGAAAUUCGUAGAUAUUCGGAGGAACACCAGUGGCGAAGGCGGCUCACUGGCUCGAUACUGACGCUGAGGUGCGAAAGCGUGGGGAGCAAACAGGAUUAGAUACCCGCGUAGUC
Molecule: ribosomal RNA, 439 nt
Filed under: uncultured bacterium
Lineage: Bacteria
Description: partial 16S ribosomal RNA
Rfam family: Bacterial small subunit ribosomal RNA
Source: RNAcentral